RNAcentral lists this non-coding RNA (27 nucleotides) under Cricetulus griseus (Chinese hamster). The record is from RNAcentral. Lineage: Eukaryota; Metazoa; Chordata; Mammalia; Rodentia; Cricetidae.
AUCAAGACCGGAAGCACAGAACUUAUG